Molecule: long non-coding RNA, 2328 nt
Filed under: Mus musculus (house mouse)
Lineage: Eukaryota; Metazoa; Chordata; Mammalia; Rodentia; Muridae
Description: long non-coding RNA chr13:76579596-76581924
Source: RNAcentral
ACUCUAAGUCUCUGCAGUUCAGAGCUGCAAGUGCUCGGUGCUGAGAGGGCGCUGCUCUCCCUUGGAGGUGAACAGACACUUAUGCUGUGUUUUGCGAAGACAGCCAAGUCUGGAGACACAGCUCUGCCCAGGGUGAAAGAUGAUUUGGUCGUUUCUCAAGCACUAUGCUAGAUAGCUACAGGCUGAAAAGUUUCUGCAAUUUACCACUCGUUUGUCAUAAGGUAAGUGCAAGGUUUGGAUGUACUCUUUAGGUUGUGGCAGCUUUAAAUGCAUUUGGCAGUUUCAGGAUUGUGCCUCAGAAAAUGUCUUCUCCCUGAGUACUGAGCAUGGUAAUUAUGAGUCUGAUGUUUGUAUUUUGGGCUUCAAAUGCUUUGCACCUAUGAAAGACCUAAUUUAAGAGAUCAGUAUUCUCUUGGAACUUAUUUAUGAAAAAAAGGCAGAACCUUGGUAAUGUUGAGACUUUGUUAGCUUUACGUUGCUUUAGAUUGCUUUCAAGAAUUAGUUAUUUCAGGGUAUCAGUUUGGGGGUCUUUUUUCAUUUUGUUAUCAUAUAGUUUCUAUCAAAGUCUAUAUCAAAUUAAUAUUCAAAUAAAUAAAGGUUUUCAUUCUUUCCUAAAUGAUUAUGGUCCUUUACUGGCAUAAAAAGAAGGUCUCAUUAACUGAAAAGUUAAAUAUGAGAAGGGAGCAAAAGCCUCUUGUCCUGUCAUGUGUGGACUUGGGCCUGAGUGAGAGGCUAUGGACUUAGGAACUUCAGGUUGAGCUGUUUUAAAAUGUGAGCUUGUUUACCACAUCUUACUUUCUCUGUUGCUGCGAGACGGUCAUGGUACAGGUUGGUGCAUAGAGAAAUCUGCGUGGAAAAUGACUGACAGCUUUGUUUGCAAAUUUGUUUAAGCUAAGAGGUUGGAAUUAAAGAUAACUGAUUCAAGAAACUGACAUCAAAUGUAGAAUUUGGGGCAGGUGUCUUGUGUCAUUUAACUUCAGAUGCUCAUAUUUAGAGCCGUCAACUUCAUUUGACAUGGAAGAAGUAGCUAAUUUGAUUUUGAGAGCUCUAGCUAUAAAUUUGUAGGAUAGUAAUGAGUUGAGUUCUUAAUGUACUAAUGACAGUUGGUAUUAUAAAUACUUUCUUCCUAAUUGACUCACUGUCAUGCUUAGGAAUGCUUCAUUUCUGUUCAAAUUUAUAUACACUAUAAAACUGCUAGAUUCUAACUAAAACAUAGAGGUUACUUUUCACUAGAAAUAUAGUCAAUAAUUAAUAUUUUUGCAAAGGUCAAAGGGUUAAUGAGUUGAUGGAAGGAAAAUGAGUUUCCUCUUCUUUAGAGGAUGAGUUAAAUUUAUUUUAAUUUCCAAGCAUAUUUGAAGGAGUACUUCGUACUUGAGAACAAAAGUUCUAUUAGAAAAUGGUACCACUAUGAGAGCAUUCUGAACCUUAAAUAGUGAAAAAAAGCAAAGACCUACAUAUUCUCAAAUCAUGAUACAUGUAAUAAAUAGAAUAUUUGAGUACUAGAAUAUACAUUAUACUCUGCCCUUUUAAAUAUGAACAAGGAGGGAGAUAUUCUGAUUUAUCAAACACUAUGCUGGAGGCAAGUCACAUAAAAGAGUAUAACAAAAUACACUGUAUUAAAGCAAAAGAAUGUCUAAUUAAUUAUGCUUUGCCUUGCUUCUGGGUUCUUAUUGUGGAUGACAGCGGCCAAACAAACUCUUGGCAUGGAUUGGAACUCAGUCUGAUGUGAUGUUAUCAGAUCCAGAGUUUCUAAUAUGUUAUUUCCAGCAGUGUUUAACAGAUCGUGCCAUUGUCUGAUGUGGCUGACCACAGAGGGUGGCAUGGCGGUUGCCCUUGUCCUUUCUUGUGCCCCAUUCUUUGGCUGUUUUCCUGGUUCCCUUCCUCUGUAGAGUGGUGGGCUGGUGGUACGAAGAGCACACACAAACAAGAUAAUAUUUCAUUUCUCAACCCACAUGCUAAUUUAGUUGAAAAAAAUCGGUGAAAAAGAUAUGGGUAAAACGAGCCUGAAAGAACCUGCAGGGUUCAGGCUUGAGGAAGCCCCUAGAUCUUGGGCUUUUCAAUCUAUGCAUUUCUAAGGGGUUGUUUCUGUGUUUUAUUAAAGGAGAGGAGUUUGAGAUGUUAAAGAUAGUCAGCACUUUACUUAGAAUACAGUAUGUUUCUUUUUGGGAAUGGAGGUCUCAUUUCUCUCCAAUUUAUAAAUUAAUUUUUCUUGUUAAUAUUCAAAUGAUAUAAAGUGUUUCGCAAAGUUAAGCUCUAGGAAAUAAAGAGACCCCCAUUAUAAGUCCCAGUGCCAUUUUAAUUUCAAAUAACACAAGGAAAGUCAUUCUC